Long non-coding RNA from Syngnathoides biaculeatus (alligator pipefish), 3285 nucleotides. RefSeq lists it as uncharacterized. Lineage: Eukaryota; Metazoa; Chordata; Actinopteri; Syngnathiformes; Syngnathidae. The record is from RefSeq and is a predicted model, not a curated record. The transcript has 5 exons.
AAACAAGGCUGAACAACUGCCGCAAACCUCCACUACGCUGCUGUCAGAUUCAUAUGAAGACAUUGCAUAAGGAAGAAGUCCCUUGUAGAUGCUGAAUAUGUCACCGUGAUAUCUCAGGGCCUCAAAUUCAAGCCGAGGUGUCAAUGUUAAGAGACACAUUCAUUUAUUGCAAUAGACUCUGCACACAGCACUAAUGCAUUUGAGCAAUGUGUGCACUGUGCACUGUCAGGAAGAUAGGAGAGCAGCAACUGAAAGACAAAAUGAGACCAGGCCAACUUCUGCCAAGACACGACAAACCCAGAGAGUGAAAAUCAUCUUAUCAGUACGAUAAGAAACAAAUAAAGGGAGACUGUCAAGAAUUACGGCUUUUUGUAUUCAGGUCGUGUCUUGUCACUAUAAAACAGAAGGAACACCAGUGGAGGCUCAGAGAGAGCGAGAGACAAGAGCGGCAGAGGGAGAAGGCGCAGCAUGACAGCAACCUGCUCUUGACAAACAGCAAGAACUUUCUCAAGCGGCCUCUCUGAAGUGCUUUAGGAUCAGCAACAUGCACCAGCUCACCACAGUAUCUUGAUGUCUCUGCUUAGAAAGCGAAGAAACUGGAGGGCUUGGAGAAAACCCAUGGAGGCACGGGGAGAACAUACAAAUGCCACACAGGCGAGGAUGGUAUCGAACCCAGGAUCUAAGAACUCUGAGGCCAACACUUUCCAGCUGUUCCACCAUCCUGCACUUUCAAAUGAUUAUUUCGACAAAGUUCAUAGGAGAUCACAAUGUCCCAUCAGAGUUAAACUCUUUUCAGAAUAGACUCAUAGGCUAUUAUAAUGUGGUCUUCAGGGGCUAGCCAGUUUACACAGGCACCACUGCUAUAAUAUCCGUGGCCACUUACCUCUGAGAACAUCAAUGUUUAAAGUGGAAGCUGUUGAUCAAUUGUUAGGUGUCACCUUGUCUCAUAUGUCUAAAUUCGACAGGCAUGAUGAAAAACCUCUUUGACAAAGUCUCUGCCUUUAUGGCAAUAAUAAACAAUAUUACAAAACUGUAGAAAAGAGAUAUCAGACUAUGAGUAUAAUGAUCUGUUUCUGGAAUGCAUUACAAAGCACCGAGAGAUGCCAGCUAUCUCAUAAUUUAUUACCAAGGCUUUCAUCUCUACUGCAUUGAGUCUGUAAGCCAUUUUUUUCUUAAUUUUCUCUAUUGGGUGUUUUGUUGCAGUUAAAAUACAAAUGUGUUUUUACAAAGUACAAUAUGCAGUAUGAAGCUGUUAACUUUAAUAGUUGAUAAGGUAAUUGGUCCUGGUGAGUGCAAAUUAAUGAUUUGUGAGUGCAAAUUAAUGAUUUGCAGCAAGUAAAUUAUUCCACUUAUUCAAAAGGCAAAGUGGUGAUAAGAGAACACCACGACUUGUCUAGCAGACCUUGGAAGUGAAAGAGUCGAGAUGAGCAUUUCAUGGAUGAUCUCAGAGAAAAGUUGGUGGUGGUGACAUAUGUUCAGGACUGCAUUGCUCAAGGUAGCGAGAAGAAAAAUGUGUAAAUUUAAUACACUUCCCCAUGGCUGCUCUGCUAUUCAUUACAUACAAGUCUGCCAAAUGUAAGCCCAAACACUGAUCCACUCGUCCUCUCUGGUCUGUGUUUGUGCUUCUCUUAUUGUGUAUUUUCAUCAGUCCCCUCUGGGUCCUACCCUUCAGUUUUUCACAAUAAUAUCACUGUGUCACUAAGUGUACAGUAGCUAAAGAGGAGGAAUUUAAUCCAAAAAGAGGAGAAAAGAUGGUGGAGGAGAGGUGGAUAACAAAUACUAAGUACAAUUUUUCCUGAAAGGUCAGGUUACACAUAGAAGGCAACCGUGCCGUUGAUCCCUCUCAUAACAUCGCUUUAUAUUCAUCUUCAGUUUCCGUUUGCACUUUGAGUUUUGGAGGUCACCUAUUUAUUUGGCAGUGGUGAAAGUUUAAGUCAUAUGACAUGGCAUGAAUCAUUGUUGAGUCACCUGCAAUCAUAAACAUCACUAAUAACAAUGGUCAUCAGAUGAAAACUAACCAGCUGGUCUUAUACUUCAAUCUGGUGCGUGAACUGACAUGAACAGGUAUUCCAAUGUGAGAGAAACAGAACAAAAAACUAUAGUUUUAAUGUCUAAUAGAAUUCCCUCCUUUUUGGUCAAGGAGGAUUAGUAUGGACUUUCAUGGUGUCAGCAAAUCUAGCACUUUUAAUGUAUGGAAUAGUGCACACCCACGCAUGUCUGUAAUAGUUCGGAGAGGAAUGAGGCUGCAAUAAAAGCAAUUUCCCCAGAAGCGAAAGCUUCCAUAAUUCUUCCAAGACAAAGCAUCUGGAAUAUUUGAGGAAAGAUGGGAAAAAAAACAGCAACAUGCUUAUUCACUGCAAUUGUGAUUUUUUUUCUAUAACCUUUCUUUUAAAAGAAUCUAUUAUGUAUUUUUGAGGGACUAGACAUUUAUCACAGAUGACAAGCACCAAGGCUUUUCUGUUGAUGGCAUUUUUUUCAACAUGGUAGAAAAACAUUUUGUACAUUUACAGUCAAUAGCAAGUAUACCUCUGUCCCUACCAAGUAUCGUUCUAUCUUGAUAUCCUUCUGUAGUACUAAUAUGCCAAUAUAUUGCAUGCACUUUCAAUAAGAGCUCCCAGUGCGAAUUCCAACCUGAAAAGUAUACACACAAAAAUGACUACCCGUUCUAAAUUUUCUUUUCCUUUGUCAGCCAUUUUCAGAUUUUUCUCCCUCAUUUCAAUUCAAUUUAUAGUCUAUACCGCUCUCUGAGUAUCUGUCUGGUCCGUGCCCAGUCAGUGAUUUCAGUAAAUACUGCCUUGUGAUGCAAAAUUAUUUGGCUGAAAGUGUUGGAGCUGCUUUGCUAUCUCAGGACCAGGACAUCUUGUUGUGAUUGAUGGAAUUCUCCUGUGUACCAGAAAAUACUGAAGGAAAAAGUCUGGCCAUCAGUUCGUGGCCUAAAACUCAAGCGCUCUUGGAUCAUGCAGCAGGAUAACCAUUCAAAAUACACCAGUAAGUCCACCUCUGAAUGACUCAAAAAAAAAAGAAAAUUACGCUUUUGGAGCGUUCUAGUCGAAGUCUGGAUUUAAAUCCAAUUGAGAUGUUGUAGUGUGACCUUAAACGGGCAGUUCAUAUUAGAAAACCCUCCAAUAUGGUGGAGUUGAAGCAAUUCCACAAAGAAGAGUGGGACAAAAUUUUCUCCAGAGUUUAUGUGAAAGACUCCUCACCAAUCAUGGCAAAUGCUUGAUUUCAGUUAUUGCUGGCAAGGGUGGCAUCACCUGUUAACAAGGGUUAGCAGGGGGCAAUUAC